This 72-nucleotide transfer RNA is filed under the name Cavia porcellus (domestic guinea pig). It matches the Rfam family "tRNA". From Rfam's summary of the family: Transfer RNA (tRNA) molecules are approximately 80 nucleotides in length. Their secondary structure includes four short double-helical elements and three loops (D, anti-codon, and T loops). Further hydrogen bonds mediate the characteristic L-shaped molecular structure. tRNAs have two regions of fundamental functional importance: the anti-codon, which is responsible for specific mRNA codon recognition, and the 3' end, to which the tRNAs corresponding amino acid is attached (by aminoacyl-tRNA synthetases). tRNAs cope with the degeneracy of the genetic code in two manners: having more than one tRNA (with a specific anti-codon) for a particular amino acid; and 'wobble' base-pairing, i.e. permitting non-standard base-pairing at the 3rd anti-codon position. Lineage: Eukaryota; Metazoa; Chordata; Mammalia; Rodentia; Caviidae. The record is from Rfam by way of RNAcentral.
GGGGAUGUAGCUCAGUGGCACAGCACCUGCCUGGCAAGCACAAGAUCAUGAGUUUGAUACUCAGCAACCCCC